UGGAAUAGGACCCUGUCCUCCUAUUUUCAGUUGGUUUGCCGCGAGGACCAGGGUAAUGAUUAAUAGGGAUAGUUGGGGGCAUUAAUAUUUAAUUGUCAGAGGUGAAAUUCUUGGAUUUAUGAAAGAUUAACUUCUGCGAAAGCAUCUGCCAAGGAUGUUUUCAUUAAUCAAGAACGAAAGUUAGGGGAUCGAAGACGAUCAGAUACCGUCGUAGUCUUAACCAUAAACGAUGCCGACCAGCGAUUAGGAGACGUUGAAUACAAAACACCACCAUGCGCAUUGCGGUCGUCUUUGGUGUCGCUCACAAGGCGGCACCGGGGCGGCUUAGCUCGCAUGGCACCGGUGAAU
This 348-nucleotide ribosomal RNA is filed under the name Acanthamoeba genotype T3. RNAcentral describes it as "SSU rRNA". The stretch from base 1 to 300 matches the Rfam family "Eukaryotic small subunit ribosomal RNA", at positions 810 to 1116 of the family's 1831-position model. Lineage: Eukaryota; Discosea; Longamoebia; Acanthamoebidae. The record is from RNAcentral.